RNAcentral lists this unclassified non-coding RNA (240 nucleotides) under soil metagenome. RNAcentral's name for it is "partial contains 5.8S ribosomal RNA, internal transcribed spacer 2, and large subunit ribosomal RNA". The record is from RNAcentral.
AACAUCGCGCACCUGCGGGAACCUGCGGAGGGAUCGUUACAGAGUUGCAAAACUCCCUAAACCAUUGUGAACGUUACCUAAACCGUUGCUUCGGCGGGCGGCCCGGGUCCUUCCCGGCGCCCCUCGGCCCUCGCGGGCGCCCGCCGGAGGUAAACCAAACUAUUGCAUUGUAUGGCCUCUCUGAGUCUUCUGUACUGAAUAAGUCAAAACUUUCAACAACGGAUCUCAGAUCGGAAGAGC